This 376-nucleotide ribosomal RNA is filed under the name uncultured bacterium. RNAcentral's name for it is "bacterial SSU rRNA". It matches the Rfam family "Bacterial small subunit ribosomal RNA", at positions 28 to 438 of the family's 1533-position model. The record is from RNAcentral.
GAUGAACGCUGGCGGUCUGCUUAACACAUGCAAGUCGAACGAACUCUUCGGAGUGAGUGGCGGACGGGUGAGUAACGCGUGAGAAUCUGCCUGUGGGUCGGGGACAACCACUGGAAACGGUGGCUAAUACCGGAUGAGCCGAAAGGUAAAAGAUUUAUUGCCCACAGAUGAGCUCGCGUCUGAUUAGGCUAGUUGGUAAGUAAAAGCGUACCAAGGCGACGAUCAGUAGCUGGUCUGAGAGGAUGAGCAGCCACACUGGGACUGAGACACGGCCCAGACUCCUACGGAGCAGCAGUGGGAAUUUUCCGCAAUGGCGAAAGCCUGACGGAGCAAGACCGACGUGGGGAGAAGGUUUUUGGAUCGAAACCCUUUGUCA